CGAUUAGAGUUUGAUUAUGGCUCAGGACGAACGCUGGCGGCGUGCUUAACACAUGCAAGUCGAGCGGGGUUUAUCGGAUUAGCUUGCUAAACUGAUAAACCUAGCGGCGGACGGGUGAGUAACGCGUGAGCAAUCUGCCUCAUACAGGGGGAUAACAGGUGGAAACACCUGCUAAUACCGCAUAAGACUCCACUACCGCAUGGUAGAGAAGUCAAAGGGAUUACCGGUAUGAGAUGAGCUCGCGUCCCAUUAGCUAGUUGGUAGGGUAAAGGCCUACCAAGGCGACGAUGGGUAGCCGACCUGAGAGGGUGAUCGGCCACACUGGGACUGAGACACGGCCCAGACUCCUACGGGAGGCAGCAGUGGGGAAUAUUGCACAAUGGAGGGAACUCUGAUGCAGCAACGCCGCGUGAGUGAAGAAGGUUUUCGGAUCGUAAAACUCUGUCAUUGGGGAAGAAUAAAUGACGGUACCCAAUGAGGAAGCCCCGGCUAACUACGUGCCAGCAGCCGCGGUAAUACGUAGGGGGCGAGCGUUGUCCGGAAUUACUGGGCGUAAAGGGUACGUAGGCGGCUAUAUAAGUCAGGUGUGAAAUACCAGUGCUUAACACUGGAAUUGCAUUUGAAACUGUGUAGCUUGAGUGCAGGAGAGGAAAGUGGAAUUCCUAGUGUAGCGGUGAAAUGCGUAGAGAUUAGGAGGAACACCAGUGGCGAAGGCGACUUUCUGGACUGUAACUGACG
RNAcentral lists this ribosomal RNA (738 nucleotides) under uncultured bacterium. RNAcentral's name for it is "bacterial SSU rRNA". It matches the Rfam family "Bacterial small subunit ribosomal RNA", at positions 1 to 745 of the family's 1533-position model. The record is from RNAcentral.